Molecule: unclassified non-coding RNA, 240 nt
Filed under: soil metagenome
Description: partial contains 5.8S ribosomal RNA, internal transcribed spacer 2, and large subunit ribosomal RNA
Source: RNAcentral
AACGCACGAGACCUGCGGACCUGCGGAGGGAUCAUUAUUGUUAGCCAUCCAACCUUGCUGUCGGUCACCCCUUCAAAAAAGGGGUGGCCGGCAACAAGCACCCGUGACAUGUUAAAGUCCUUAACAGUACCCGGAUCUAUGCAAAUAGGUCUGGUGUUACUGUUGUUAAGCACCUCUAUCUUAAACAGAAUAGUCUAAUACUUGAGUUUGUCAAUUUUAUAUUGGCAAGCGCAAAAAAAA